RNAcentral lists this ribosomal RNA (301 nucleotides) under uncultured bacterium. Its description in RNAcentral is "partial 16S ribosomal RNA". It matches the Rfam family "Bacterial small subunit ribosomal RNA", at positions 509 to 809 of the family's 1533-position model. The record is from RNAcentral.
CAGCAGCCGCGGGAAUACGAAGGGGGCUAGCGUUGCUCGGAAUCACUGGGCGUAAAGGGUGCGUAGGCGGGUCUUUAAGUUAGGGGUGAAAUCCUGGAGCUCAACUCCAGAACUGCCUUUGAUACUGAAGAUCUUGAGUUCGGGAGAGGUGAGUGGAACUGCGAGUGUAGAGGUGAAAUUCGUAGAUAUUCGCAAGAACACCAGUGGCGAAGGCGGCUCACUGGCCCGAUACUGACGCUGAGGCACGAAAGCGUGGGGAGCAAACAGGAUUAGAUACCCCUGUAGUCCCUGUCUCUUAUAA